RNAcentral lists this unclassified non-coding RNA (315 nucleotides) under plant metagenome. Its description in RNAcentral is "partial contains 5.8S ribosomal RNA, internal transcribed spacer 2, and large subunit ribosomal RNA". The stretch from base 1 to 105 matches the Rfam family "5.8S ribosomal RNA", at positions 50 to 154 of the family's 154-position model. The record is from RNAcentral.
GAACUGCUAUAAGUAAUGUGAAUUGCAGAAUUCAGUGAAUCAUCGAGUCUUUGAACGCACAUUGCGCCCCCUGGCAUUCCGGGGGGCAUGCCUGUCCGAGCGUCAUUGCUGCCCUUCAAGCCCGGCUUGUGUGUUGGGUCGUCGUCCCCUCCGGGGGACGGGCCCGAAAGGCAGCGGCGGCACCGCGUCCGGUCCUCGAGCGUAUGGGGCUUUGUCACCCGCUCGAUAAGGACCGGCCGGGCGCCAGCCGGCGUCUCCAACCUUUUUUUCUCAGGUUGACCUCGGAUCAGGUAGGGAUACCCGCUGAACUUAAGC